Molecule: ribosomal RNA, 971 nt
Filed under: Escherichia coli
Lineage: Bacteria; Pseudomonadati; Pseudomonadota; Gammaproteobacteria; Enterobacterales; Enterobacteriaceae
Description: partial 23S ribosomal RNA
Rfam family: Bacterial large subunit ribosomal RNA
Source: RNAcentral
GCGGGACACGUGGUAUCCUGUCUGAAUAUGGGGGGACCAUCCUCCAAGGCUAAAUACUCCUGACUGACCGAUAGUGAACCAGUACCGUGAGGGAAAGGCGAAAAGAACCCCGGCGAGGGGAGUGAAAAAGAACCUGAAACCGUGUACGUACAAGCAGUGGGAGCCUCUUAAUGGGGUGACUGCGUACCUUUUGUAUAAUGGGUCAGCGACUUAUAUUCUGUAGCAAGGUUAACCGAAUAGGGGAGCCGAAGGGAAACCGAGUCUUAACUGGGCGUUAAGUUGCAGGGUAUAGACCCGAAACCCGGUGAUCUAGCCAUGGGCAGGUUGAAGGUUGGGUAACACUAACUGGAGGACCGAACCGACUAAUGUUGAAAAAUUAGCGGAUGACUUGUGGCUGGGGGUGAAAGGCCAAUCAAACCGGGAGAUAGCUGGUUCUCCCCGAAAGCUAUUUAGGUAGCGCCUCGUGAAUUCAUCUCCGGGGGUAGAGCACUGUUUCGGCAAGGGGGUCAUCCCGACUUACCAACCCGAUGCAAACUGCGAAUACCGGAGAAUGUUAUCACGGGAGACACACGGCGGGUGCUAACGUCCGUCGUGAAGAGGGAAACAACCCAGACCGCCAGCUAAGGUCCCAAAGUCAUGGUUAAGUGGGAAACGAUGUGGGAAGGCCCAGACAGCCAGGAUGUUGGCUUAGAAGCAGCCAUCAUUUAAAGAAAGCGUAAUAGCUCACUGGUCGAGUCGGCCUGCGCGGAAGAUGUAACGGGGCUAAACCAUGCACCGAAGCUGCGGCAGCGACACUAUGUGUUGUUGGGUAGGGGAGCGUUCUGUAAGCCUGUGAAGGUGGCCUGUGAGGGUUGCUGGAGGUAUCAGAAGUGCGAAUGCUGACAUAAGUAACGAUAAAGCGGGUGAAAAGCCCGCUCGCCGGAAGACCAAGGGUUCCUGUCCAACGUUAAUCGGGGCAGGGUGAGUCGACC